UACGAAGGGGGCUAGCGUUGCUCGGAAUCACUGGGCGUAAAGCGCACGUAGGCGGACUUUUAAGUCAGGGGUGAAAUCCUGGAGCUCAACUCCAGAACUGCCUUUGAUACUGGAAGUCUUGAGUUCGAGAGAGGUGAGUGGAACUGCGAGUGUAGAGGUGAAAUUCGUAGAUAUUCGCAAGAACACCGGUGGCGAAGGCGGGUCUCUGGGCCGAUACUGACGCUGAGGAGCGAAAGCGUGGGGAGCGAACAGG
This 253-nucleotide ribosomal RNA is filed under the name uncultured bacterium. Its description in RNAcentral is "partial 16S ribosomal RNA". It matches the Rfam family "Bacterial small subunit ribosomal RNA", at positions 524 to 776 of the family's 1533-position model. The record is from RNAcentral.